RNAcentral lists this ribosomal RNA (207 nucleotides) under uncultured bacterium. Its description in RNAcentral is "partial 16S ribosomal RNA". It matches the Rfam family "Bacterial small subunit ribosomal RNA", at positions 568 to 774 of the family's 1533-position model. The record is from RNAcentral.
CUCGUAGGCGGCCAACUAAGUCAGACGUGAAAUCCCUCGGCUUAACCGGGGAACUGCGUCUGAUACUGGAUGGCUUGAGUUUGGGAGAGGGAUGCGGAAUUCCAGGUGUAGCGGUGAAAUGCGUAGAUAUCUGGAGGAACACCGGUGGCGAAGGCGGCAUCCUGGACCAGUACUGACGCUGAGGAGCGAAAGCCAGGGGAGCAAACG